Molossus molossus (Pallas's mastiff bat) is the source of this 71-nucleotide small nucleolar RNA. RefSeq annotates it as small nucleolar RNA SNORD101. The record is from RefSeq and is a predicted model, not a curated record. NCBI's taxonomy places the organism in Eukaryota, Metazoa, Chordata, Mammalia, Chiroptera, Molossidae. The transcript has a single exon.
UUUAUAAUGAAAACAUUUUCUUGGAUACCCCUUCACUCCUUUUAUGAGUGAAACGUAACAGUCUGAAAAAC